UACAGAGGGUGCGAGCGUUAAUCGGAGUUACUGGGCGUAAAGGGCGCGUAGGCGGUUAUGUAAGUGAGAUGUGAAAUCCCUGGGCUUAACCUAGGAAUUGCAUUUUAGACUAGAUGACUGGAGUACAGUAGAGGGUAGCGGAAUUUCCGGUGUAGCGGUGAAAUGCGUAGAGAUCGGAAGGAACAUCAGUGGCGAAGGCGGCUACCUGGACUGACACUGACGCUGAGGCGCGAGAGCGUGGGGAGCAAACAGG
RNAcentral lists this ribosomal RNA (253 nucleotides) under uncultured bacterium. Its description in RNAcentral is "partial 16S ribosomal RNA". It matches the Rfam family "Bacterial small subunit ribosomal RNA", at positions 524 to 776 of the family's 1533-position model. The record is from RNAcentral.